UGGGGAAUAUUGGACAAUGGGCGCAAGCCUGAUCCAGCCAUGCCGCGUGAGUGACGAAGGCCUUAGGGUUGUAAAGCUCUUUUGGCGGGGAAGAUAAUGACGGUACCCGCAGAAUAAGCUCCGGCUAACUUCGUGCCAGCAGCCGCGGUAAUACGAAGGGAGCUAGCGUUGUUCGGAAUCACUGGGCGUAAAGCGCACGUAGGCGGAUGUGUCAGUCAGGGGUGAAAUCCCGGAGCUCAACUUCGGAACUGCCCUUGAUACAGCACGUCUUGAGUCCGAUAGAGGUGGGUGGAAUUCCUAGUGUAGAGGUGAAAUUCGUAGAUAUUAGGAAGAACACCGGUGGCGAAGGCGGCCCACUGGAUCGGUACUGACGCUGAGGUGCGAAAGCGUGGGGAGCAAACAGGAUUAGAUACCCCCGUAGUCCCUGAGCGGGCUGGCAAGGCGCAU
This 447-nucleotide ribosomal RNA is filed under the name uncultured bacterium. RNAcentral describes it as "bacterial SSU rRNA". It matches the Rfam family "Bacterial small subunit ribosomal RNA", at positions 355 to 825 of the family's 1533-position model. The record is from RNAcentral.